This 516-nucleotide small RNA is filed under the name Pan troglodytes (chimpanzee). RNAcentral describes it as "processed transcript". Lineage: Eukaryota; Metazoa; Chordata; Mammalia; Primates; Hominidae. The record is from RNAcentral.
AUGUCAGGCCUGCGGCCCGGCACUCAAGUGGACCCUGAGAUUGAGCUUUUUGUAAAGAUGUGCCUUUCACCUUCUUCCAUGAUUGUGAGGCCUUCCCAGCCACGUGGAACUGCUGGAAGUGAUGGAGAGAGUAUUGGAAACUGUCCCUUUUGCCAACGGCUUUUCAUGAUCCUCUGGCUUAAAGGAGUUAAAUUUAAUGUGACAACUGUUGACAUGACCAGAAAGCCUGAAGAACUAAAGGACUUAGCCCCAGGUACCAAUCCUCCGUUCCUGGUGUAUAACAAGGAGUUGAAAACAGACUUCAUUAAAAUUGAGGAGUUUUUAGAACAAACCCUGGCUCCUCCAAGGUACCCUCACCUGAGUCCCAAGUACAAGGAGUCUUUUGAUGUGGGCUGUAACCUCUUUGCCAAGUUUUCUGCAUACAUUAAGAAUACACAAAAGGAGGCAAAUAAGAAUUUUGAAAAAUCUCUGCUCAAAGAAUUCAAGCGUCUGGAUGACUACUUAAACACCCCACUU